AUACCUCAAGCCCUAGGCUUGGUGAUGGGCAAUGCCAGCUAGGCAUGCCUGAAAACCAGAGGCAGUGAAGCCUGAGUGCGGAAGCGUAGUGAUAAUUUUAUAACCGCUUAGGCCUCAGGUGAAGCUUGCAGAACCCCAAAACUCAAAUGU
This 150-nucleotide unclassified non-coding RNA is filed under the name uncultured Leotiomycetes. Its description in RNAcentral is "sequence contains ITS2". Lineage: Eukaryota; Fungi; Ascomycota; Leotiomycetes. The record is from RNAcentral.